Molecule: ribosomal RNA, 2249 nt
Filed under: Escherichia coli
Lineage: Bacteria; Pseudomonadati; Pseudomonadota; Gammaproteobacteria; Enterobacterales; Enterobacteriaceae
Description: partial 23S ribosomal RNA
Rfam family: Bacterial large subunit ribosomal RNA
Source: RNAcentral
GGUUAAGCGACUAAGCGUACACGGUGGAUGCCCUGGCAGUCAGAGGCGAUGAAGGACGUGCUAAUCUGCGAUAAGCGUCGGUAAGGUGAUAUGAACCGUUAUAACCGGCGAUUUCCGAAUGGGGAAACCCAGUGUGUUUCGACACACUAUCAUUAACUGAAUCCAUAGGUUAAUGAGGCGAACCGGGGGAACUGAAACAUCUAAGUACCCCGAGGAAAAGAAAUCAACCGAGAUUCCCCCAGUAGCGGCGAGCGAACGGGGAGCAGCCCAGAGCCUGAAUCAGUGUGUGUGUUAGUGGAAGCGUCUGGAAAGGCGCGCGAUACAGGGUGACAGCCCCGUACACAAAAAUGCACAUGCUGUGAGCUCGAUGAGUAGGGCGGGACACGUGGUAUCCUGUCUGAAUAUGGGGGGACCAUCCUCCAAGGCUAAAUACUCCUGACUGACCGAUAGUGAACCAGUACCGUGAGGGAAAGGCGAAAAGAACCCCGGCGAGGGGAGUGAAAAAGAACCUGAAACCGUGUACGUACAAGCAGUGGGAGCACGCUUAGGCGUGUGACUGCGUACCUUUUGUAUAAUGGGUCAGCGACUUAUAUUCUGUAGCAAGGUUAACCGAAUAGGGGAGCCGAAGGGAAACCGAGUCUUAACUGGGCGUUAAGUUGCAGGGUAUAGACCCGAAACCCGGUGAUCUAGCCAUGGGCAGGUUGAAGGUUGGGUAACACUAACUGGAGGACCGAACCGACUAAUGUUGAAAAAUUAGCGGAUGACUUGUGGCUGGGGGUGAAAGGCCAAUCAAACCGGGAGAUAGCUGGUUCUCCCCGAAAGCUAUUUAGGUAGCGCCUCGUGAAUUCAUCUCCGGGGGUAGAGCACUGUUUCGGCAAGGGGGUCAUCCCGACUUACCAACCCGAUGCAAACUGCGAAUACCGGAGAAUGUUAUCACGGGAGACACACGGCGGGUGCUAACGUCCGUCGUGAAGAGGGAAACAACCCAGACCGCCAGCUAAGGUCCCAAAGUCAUGGUUAAGUGGGAAACGAUGUGGGAAGGCCCAGACAGCCAGGAUGUUGGCUUAGAAGCAGCCAUCAUUUAAAGAAAGCGUAAUAGCUCACUGGUCGAGUCGGCCUGCGCGGAAGAUGUAACGGGGCUAAACCAUGCACCGAAGCUGCGGCAGCGACGCUUAUGCGUUGUUGGGUAGGGGAGCGUUCUGUAAGCCUGCGAAGGUGUGCUGUGAGGCAUGCUGGAGGUAUCAGAAGUGCGAAUGCUGACAUAAGUAACGAUAAAGCGGGUGAAAAGCCCGCUCGCCGGAAGACCAAGGGUUCCUGUCCAACGUUAAUCGGGGCAGGGUGAGUCGACCCCUAAGGCGAGGCCGAAAGGCGUAGUCGAUGGGAAACAGGUUAAUAUUCCUGUACUUGGUGUUACUGCGAAGGGGGGACGGAGAAGGCUAUGUUGGCCGGGCGACGGUUGUCCCGGUUUAAGCGUGUAGGCUGGUUUUCCAGGCAAAUCCGGAAAAUCAAGGCUGAGGCGUGAUGACGAGGUACUACGGUGCUGAAGCAACAAAUGCCCUGCUUCCAGGAAAAGCCUCUAAGCAUCAGGUAACAUCAAAUCGUACCCCAAACCGACACAGGUGGUCAGGUAGAGAAUACCAAGGCGCUUGAGAGAACUCGGGUGAAGGAACUAGGCAAAAUGGUGCCGUAACUUCGGGAGAAGGCACGCUGAUAUGUAGGUGAAGUCCCUUGCGGAUGGAGCUGAAAUCAGUCGAAGAUACCAGCUGGCUGCAACUGUUUAUUAAAAACACAGCACUGUGCAAACACGAAAGUGGACGUAUACGGUGUGACGCCUGCCCGGUGCCGGAAGGUUAAUUGAUGGGGUUAGCGGUAACGCGAAGCUCUUGAUCGAAGCCCCGGUAAACGGCGGCCGUAACUAUAACGGUCCUAAGGUAGCGAAAUUCCUUGUCGGGUAAGUUCCGACCUGCACGAAUGGCGUAAUGAUGGCCAGGCUGUCUCCACCCGAGACUCAGUGAAAUUGAACUCGCUGUGAAGAUGCAGUGUACCCGCGGCAAGACGGAAAGACCCCGUGAACCUUUACUAUAGCUUGACACUGAACAUUGAGCCUUGAUGUGUAGGAUAGGUGGGAGGCUUUGAAGUGUGGACGCCAGUCUGCAUGGAGCCGACCUUGAAAUACCACCCUUUAAUGUUUGAUGUUCUAACGUUGACCCGUAAUCCGGGUUGCGGACAGUGUCUGGUGGGUAGUUUGA